UUUCUCCUUUCCCUCUGCCCUAGCCGCUUUCUCUCUCCCUCUUCUUUACGCCCUAGCCGCUUUCUCUCUCUGCAACUGCGAUGCACCCCAGUUUCAUCUCUUAUGAUCGAUUGAUAAUCAGGAAGGAGAGCUUGGGAGGCCAAGAUUCAAGGGUUCCGGGAUUUGGUGGUCUCAGAGAGUGAGGUGGUGGAGAUAUCUUGGUGAUCUGCACUUCGUUGGAUAAGUGCAGGGAGAUCAAGAGGCUUCUCCACUGGGAGGUUUAGAUGGGUGAUCUAAUCAGUGAUCCUUCGACCCUUCAACCCUCAUUGGACCAUUCGAUUAAUGGACAAAAUUUUGGGUAAGCGAAUGUGCAUAAUGAUGUUAGCACUUCUAGUAACCUUGAUUCCGUGAGGGCUGAUUUGGGUUGGAACCCAAGUGCAAUGCUGUGAGGGGGUACGUUCAUGCCGCCUGUUUCUGGUAUGCUGUCUAACUUUCCAGCUGAUUCUGGUUUCAUCGAGAGGGCAGCGAGACUUUCGUGCUUCAGAAGGGGGAAUUUUGGUGAAAUAAUGAACCCAUUUGUUGUUCCUAAUCCGCUGGAUCUGUUCCUAUGGGACAUAGGCGUUUAUGGAGUAUUUUAUUUACACAUUGCAACAAAAAUGUGCAGCUUAAUCUUUUGUAAUUUGAUUCAGUGUGUUUGCAUUUACUUAUUCAAAUAAGUGAUUAAAAAUAUUUUUUUA
Molecule: long non-coding RNA, 716 nt
Organism: Salvia hispanica
Lineage: Eukaryota; Viridiplantae; Streptophyta; Magnoliopsida; Lamiales; Lamiaceae
Source: RefSeq, a predicted model, not a curated record